Long non-coding RNA from Acanthochromis polyacanthus (spiny chromis), 1206 nucleotides. RefSeq lists it as uncharacterized. Lineage: Eukaryota; Metazoa; Chordata; Actinopteri; Pomacentridae. The transcript has 4 exons. The record is from RefSeq and is a predicted model, not a curated record.
AGUUCACACCUGCAUGGCAACCGCACUCCCCUGCAAGACAACGCGCCCCACUAAACCCCAAAAAUUGCUCAGAAUUGACUCGAGGAACACAACCAAGAGCCCAAGGCAUUGACCAAACCACCCAGAUCUCAAUCAGAUUGAGCAUCUGUACCUGCAAUAUCAGACACCAGAAGAAUACACAGAGGCAAACAAUGUGAGAGUACAGGAAUGCAACAGCUUCAUAGAGCUGCCCAGCACUCUGGAUGACCUGGUCAAUAUCUAUCCAAAAGGGGACGCUGAUGAGUGGGAGGACAGAGUGGCAUUUGUGAACCUCCUUAAACAGAUGCUGCAUCUUGACGGAUAUCAAAGACUCCCGCCUUGUGAAGCUCAGCAGCAGCUGUUCAUCACAAUGAGCCACCUGACUGAGCUCUCUGAGAGCAGAGACUACCUGACGGCCUCCCAGACUAAAACGGGUCUCUCUCCAGUGGAGGAACUUGAUCGGGAGUCAGACACUGGAUAUUGUGACACCACUUCAAUUGCGUAGCCUUUUAAUAUUAAACUUUUUUUCCCUUAAAUAUAUUUGGAAACCGAUUGUUUCAGCUGUAGUCUCUACCACGGAAACUGGUAUGUUACGUUGUCUGUCAAAAGUUGGGAAAAUCAAAAAGACAAAAUUGUUCUGAACAUUUAAGAAAAAAAGUUUUACAGCCUGGUGACUCUACUUGAAUGUUGAACAAACUCAUUCCAACCUGAAAUAUGUCCACAUCACUUGCUCAGUUACGUCAGUGCUCAGUGUACCGACCUGACAGCGUCAGUCAGAUAGUGCCAGCACAGGUAGAUGGUUCUGGAGCUGUACUGGAUGGACUGGUAGAGAGACACAGGACUGGAGCGAGUGAGGUAGACACUGGCCUGCUCUGUGUUACUGUACAACACUGACACAGAAAGACGAGGGAGACAUGAAGGGAGGAUGCAGCCUGUUUGACAAUGUACUGAAUGUCAAACAGAUAAAAAUGAAAUAAAAGCUAAUGAUAAGACCAUUUGCAGUUAAAUAUGAGACAUAACCAGAGGUGAAACUUCACUGGUAAUUUCAAUUAAGUCAAAAUCUUUUCAUAUUUUAUACAUUAGGGUAUAAAAUAUCAAAAGCACAGUUUAGAAUAAAUGAGGCCCAUCACUUGUACUACUAGACAGCUGACUUGCAUAUUCUGAUAGUUGUAUUAUAUAUAUAUAUAU